This 119-nucleotide ribosomal RNA is filed under the name Olea europaea subsp. europaea. The record is from RNAcentral. Lineage: Eukaryota; Viridiplantae; Streptophyta; Magnoliopsida; Lamiales; Oleaceae.
GGGUGCGACCAUACCAGCACUAACGCACCGGAUCCCAUCAGAACUCUGAAGUUAAGCGUGCUUGGGCGAGAGUAGUACUAGGAUGGGUGACCCCCUGGAAAGUUCUCGUGUUGCACCCC